GAAGUAGGCGGCCACGUAAGUGGGGCGUGAAAUCCUUCGGCUCAACCGAAGACCUGCGCUCCAAACUGUGUGGCUUGAGUCCGGGAGGGGAGACGGGAAUUCCUGGUGUAGCGGUGAAAUGCGCAGAUAUCAGGAAGAACACCGGUGGCGAAGGCGCGUCUCUGGACCGGUACUGACGCUGAAUUCCGAAAGCGUGGGGAGCAAACA
Molecule: ribosomal RNA, 207 nt
Filed under: uncultured bacterium
Lineage: Bacteria
Description: partial 16S ribosomal RNA
Rfam family: Bacterial small subunit ribosomal RNA
Source: RNAcentral